GGGACUUGUAACCCACAGCUUUUACCGCCUGGGUUUUUUUUUUCCCCGCUCACCUGCACGGGGAUGCUCGGCGGUCAGCAGCGCAGGGCGGGUAUCUCAAGAGCCGGCUCAGCUCCUUGCUGAAAGUUGGGGGUGAACUGACAGCACCGUCACCAUUUUUACAUAGGGAAAGCUCAGGGAAUAUCCGUGCCUUCCACAAGGUGUUUUGUUAUUGUUGGUUUUUUUUCCCCCGCUGUCACUUACAUUGCGUGCAAGUUUUUUAGCCUGCUGUGCAAACCAUCCCUUUGUGGGAGCAGAGCUGCCCAUUUCUCUCUGGUGCUGCUGCUGCUGCACUCCGCCUUCUUGCCCCAAGUCCUGUGUGGUGGGACCUGAGAGCAUCUGCCAUCAGAGCAGCCCCAAGCAAGGCCACAAACCCAGCCGUGCGUGCAAGGAAGUCAGGCUGUUGUCUCCUUAAAUGUGAUGACGAGCUGAGUCCUGGACCACUAAGACUGAAAGAGAUUUCCUUCCAGCACACGCGGAGCUCGGUGCCGACUGCUUCUGCCAUUUCCCAACAUGAUGUAGUUGCUGGAGGGCCAGGCCCAGAGAAUGGUGGUGAAUGGAGUUUGUUAGAUUCAGCUGGUGACCGAUGACAAGUGGUGUUCCCCAGGGUAAUUUUAAGAAGGAAGAUGUGCAACCAAAUGGAAGCGGGGAAUAUGCAAGAGCAGAGAGAAGCUGCCAGACCGGUGAGGGAGAUUUGCAUUUGCUGAAGAUCUGGAAAAAAAGUAUUCACAUGAGGAAUCAAACUCUAUAUAACCCAUGUAUGGUUAUAAAGCAGGUAUGUUUAUUACAGUGCCG
RNAcentral lists this long non-coding RNA (834 nucleotides) under Gallus gallus (chicken). RNAcentral describes it as "lncRNA (ENSGALG00010008817.1)". Lineage: Eukaryota; Metazoa; Chordata; Aves; Galliformes; Phasianidae. The record is from RNAcentral.